CCUACGGGGUGCAGCAGUGGGGAAUAUUGGACAAUGGGCGAAAGCCUGAUCCAGCCAUGCCGCGUGUGUGAAGAAGGCCUUCGGGUUGUAAAGCACUUUCAGUGGGGAAGAAAGCCUUGGGGCUAAUACCCUCGAGGAAGGACAUCACCCACAGAAGAAGCACCGGCUAACUCCGUGCCAGCAGCCGCGGUAAUACGGAGGGUGCGAGCGUUAAUCGGAAUUACUGGGCGUAAAGCGCGCGUAGGCGGUCUGAUAAGCCGGUUGUGAAAGCCCCGGGCUCAACCUGGGAACGGCAUCCGGAACUGUCAGGCUAGAGUGCAGGAGAGGAAGGUAGAAUUCCCGGUGUAGCGGUGAAAUGCGUAGAGAUCGGGAGGAAUACCAGUGGCGAAGGCGGCCUUCUGGACUGACACUGACGCCGAGGUGCGAAAGCGUGGGUAGCAAACAGGAUUAGAUACCCGGGUAGUC
RNAcentral lists this ribosomal RNA (465 nucleotides) under Vreelandella stevensii. RNAcentral's name for it is "partial 16S ribosomal RNA". It matches the Rfam family "Bacterial small subunit ribosomal RNA", at positions 338 to 795 of the family's 1533-position model. Lineage: Bacteria; Pseudomonadati; Pseudomonadota; Gammaproteobacteria; Oceanospirillales; Halomonadaceae. The record is from RNAcentral.